RNAcentral lists this ribosomal RNA (513 nucleotides) under uncultured bacterium. RNAcentral describes it as "bacterial SSU rRNA". It matches the Rfam family "Bacterial small subunit ribosomal RNA", at positions 24 to 531 of the family's 1533-position model. The record is from RNAcentral.
UCAGGAUGAACGCUGGCGGCGUGCCUAACACAUGCAAGUCGAACGGAUUUAUAACGAAACCUAGUGAAUUAUAAGUUAGUGGCGAACGGGUGAGUAACGCGUGGAAAACCUGCCGUAUACUGGGGGAUAACACUUAGAAAUAGGUGCUAAUACCGCAUAAGCGCACAGCUUCGCAUGAAGCAGUGUGAAAAACUCCGGUGGUAUACGAUGGUUCCGCGUCUGAUUAGCUAGUUGGUGAGGUAAAAGCCCACCAAGGCGACGAUCAGUAGCCGGCCUGAGAGGGUGAACGGCCACAUUGGGACUGAGACACGGCCCAGACUCCUACGGGAGGCAGCAGUGGGGGAUAUUGCACAAUGGGGGAAACCCUGAUGCAGCGACGCCGCGUGAGUGAAGAAGUAUUUCGGUACGUAAAGCUCUAUCAGCAGGGAAGAAAAAAAGUCCACAGGACUUUGGACGGUACCUGACUAAGAAGCCCCGGCUAACUACGUGCCAGCAGCCGCGGUAAUACGUAGG